AUCCUGGCUCAGGAUGAACGCUGGCGGCGUGCUUAACACAUGCAAGUCGAACGGAGAACCCCUGAACGAGUUUUCGGACAAGUGAUGGGAAUUCUUAGUGGCGGACGGGUGAGUAACGCGUCGAGGAACCUGCCUUGGAGAGGGGAAUAACACAGAGAAAUUUGUGCUAAUACCGCAUGAUGCAGUUAUAUCGCAUGGUAUUGACUGCCAAAGAUUUUAUCGCUCUGAGAUGGCCUCGCGUCUGAUUAGCUUGUUGGCGGGGUAACGGCCCACCAAGGCGACGAUCAGUAGCCGGACUGAGAGGUUGGCCGGCCACAUUGGGACUGAGACACGGCCCAGACUCCUACGGGAGGCAGCAGUGGGGAAUAUUGGGCAAUGGGCGCAAGCCUGACCCAGCAACGCCGCGUGAAGGAAGAAGGCUUUCGGGUUGUAAACUUCUUUUAUGUAGGACGAAACAAAUGACGGUACUACAUGAAUAAGCUCCGGCUAACUACGUGCC
This 499-nucleotide ribosomal RNA is filed under the name uncultured organism. RNAcentral's name for it is "SSU rRNA". It matches the Rfam family "Bacterial small subunit ribosomal RNA", at positions 16 to 509 of the family's 1533-position model. The record is from RNAcentral.